AGAGUUUGAUCAUGGCUCAGGAUGAAUGCUGGCGGCGUGGAUAAGGCAUGCAAGUCAAGGGGACCGCAAGGUAACCGGCAGACGAGGUAGUAACACGUAGGUAGAUCCCCCGGAGUCGGGCAUAGCUAGCCGAAAGGUUAGGUAAUUCCCGAUGGUUCCGUGAGGAUAAAGGAGCAAUCCGCUCCGGGAGUCGCCUGCGUAGUAUCAGCUAGUUGGUAGGGUAAUGGCCUACCAAGGCUACGACGCUUAGGGGAGCUGAGAGGCUGACCCCCACCGAUGGGACUGAGAUACGGCCCAUACUCCUACGGGAGGCCGCAGUCGAGAAUCUUCCGCAAUGGGCGAAAGCCUGACGGAGCGACGCCGCGUGAUUGACGAAGUCCUUCGGGACGUAAAAAUCUUUUCCCAGGGACGAAAUUAUUGACGGUACCUGGGGAAUAAGGGGCUCCUAACUCUGUGCCAGCAGGAGCGGUAAUACAGAGGCCCCAAGCAUUAUCCGGAAUUAUUGGGCGUAAAGGGUGUCGAGGCGGUCGUAUUAGUCUUCCGUGAAAUCCAGGAGCUUAACUUCUGGCCUGCGGAGGAAACGGUACGACUUGAGGGCGCGAGAGGUCUAUGGAACUCACGGUGUAGGGGUAAAAUCCGUUGAUAUCGUGGGGAACACCAAAAGCGAAGGCAAUAGACUGGCGCGUUCCUGACGCUCACACACGAAAGCCAGGGGAGCGAACGGGAUUAGAUACCCCCGUAGUCC
RNAcentral lists this ribosomal RNA (745 nucleotides) under uncultured soil bacterium. Its description in RNAcentral is "bacterial SSU rRNA". It matches the Rfam family "Bacterial small subunit ribosomal RNA", at positions 8 to 796 of the family's 1533-position model. The record is from RNAcentral.